RNAcentral lists this long non-coding RNA (298 nucleotides) under Chinchilla lanigera (long-tailed chinchilla). Its description in RNAcentral is "lncRNA (ENSCLAG00000027457.1)". Lineage: Eukaryota; Metazoa; Chordata; Mammalia; Rodentia; Chinchillidae. The record is from RNAcentral.
GGUGAAGUGACAGUAAGAAUGUGCUGAAAGAAUAAAAUAAUCUUAUAUCCAAUUUAUUAAUAGGAUGACCUCUGAAGCAUAGCACUGAGCAGACUGCUGGUCCUGUCCAUUGUUUUAUCUGACCAUGUCCUGAAGAUGAGAGACUUACAUGUGGAGCAAAGUCAUCCAAUCAGUAUGAGCCAGAGCAGAGGCAUUCCGGGAGUACGCAGAGGGCAUGCCAUUGAGGAUCUGGGAGAUUUCCACCAUAGCAGUCAGCUGACUGCAUCCCCAGGAGGACCAGGCAGAGGAAAACACUUGG